This 126-nucleotide small nucleolar RNA is filed under the name Echinops telfairi (small Madagascar hedgehog). RNAcentral describes it as "Small nucleolar RNA SNORA61 (ENSETEG00000025062.1)". Lineage: Eukaryota; Metazoa; Chordata; Mammalia; Afrosoricida; Tenrecidae. The record is from RNAcentral.
ACCUUCCAGUUUCUUUUCCCAUCCUAUUUAAACACUGCUCGGAUGCAGUGGAUACAGGAAGAAAAAGGAACUUAGGGACUGACUUCAAUGCUUUUGUAGCAAGCACAUGGCUAGUGUUACACAAGU